UUCUCAUCUUAAUUUUAUAUUAGGUUAUCAACAUUUUCCUUUUAUUGUUUAUCUAGUUUUCAAAUCCAAACCCACAACUCAACACUCAACUACUAAUUAAAUUUUCAAACUUUGUCAGGUGUUUUGGAAGCAAAGAGGACCCACCAUGGCCAGAAGAAAGUCGAACAUCGCUAAAAGAAGAAUUAAGAAAGCGUUGAAGAAAGUUAGGACGUUAAAAGCUUGGACAGCACAGACGAGAGAGGAGGCGACCCGCCUGAUAAACCGGGCAGGGAAUUGUUACCAGGAAAUCGCGCAAAUUAGGGGAGCGAUUCAAUCACAAAUCUUGGCAGCUCGGAAUUUGGAUGCUGAAGUCAAUCAUCUCAUUCUCGCUUGUCUUGCUAAAGACGACGGCGACUGAUCACAUUUCCUGCUCUUUUGUCGUUUUUUUACUGUUUCUUUGGUCGUUCCCGCCCAAGCUUAUUCAAAGCAUGCUGGGAUUAGGUGCAGCUGUUUAAAAGGGUUUGCCAGGAGCAAAUUCUGUUGACGUUGUUUUGUUCUUUUGGUGUGCUGUCCUGGCGUGAGUAGUCGAUCUGUGUUGCUGAUGCAGAUGCUCUUUUGUUUGGCUUGUUAGUCCCAUAAGUUUGGAGUUGUUGCUACUCUGUAGAGGAGGAUAGGGUCAUUCUGUUCUAUUAAGUAUUGGGUGUUUAAUCGUCUCUGUGGGCUAAUUUUUGUGGUUGUAAUGCCGAUGUUCAUUCUGGUUGUUGUCGUGUGACUUGGUGUUGGAUAUGUCCUUCAUUAAGAGUACUAUUUUCCUCUAUUCAGGAUUAGGGAGGUUUUUAGAGGCUCUUAACAUAGGUUUUUAAUCAAUAAAUCUAUUUUUGUAGUAGAUGUUUUUGAUAAAAUUUCAAGAGUUUUCUUCCUCCUCCACCUCCAUGGCCUUGAGCUUCCUUC
This is a long non-coding RNA of Hibiscus syriacus, 930 nucleotides long. RefSeq lists it as uncharacterized. The record is from RefSeq and is a predicted model, not a curated record. The transcript is spliced from 3 exons. Lineage: Eukaryota; Viridiplantae; Streptophyta; Magnoliopsida; Malvales; Malvaceae.